GCUAGUAAUGGCAGGUCAGCAUACUGCCGUGAAUACGUUCCCGGGCCUUGUACACACCGCCCGUCACACCAUGAGAGUUGGGGAUACCCGAAGCCUGUGAGCUAACUAUUUAUAGGAGCAGCAGUCGAAGGUAGAAUCAAUGAUUGGGGUGAAGUCGUAACAAGGUAAC
RNAcentral lists this ribosomal RNA (169 nucleotides) under uncultured bacterium. Its description in RNAcentral is "partial 16S ribosomal RNA". It matches the Rfam family "Bacterial small subunit ribosomal RNA", at positions 1334 to 1500 of the family's 1533-position model. The record is from RNAcentral.